CCUUUACAGAUUCUGCACUGGAGAAGGAAGAUUCCUCCUUUACCAGAUGGUAGAAGUGGGUGGAGAGUUAAUAGGUGAACCUAGAAAAGGAAGGGGGUGAUUUAGGAGACAGGCAUAAAUCUGAGGGUGGGGAACAAGACUAAAAACUAAAACAAAGGUUAGCAGCAGCUUUAUAUUGAUGAAGUCCCUGAGGUUCAGAAACAACUGAAUGCCUAUAGUCUACUAGAAACUGUAUAGGUGCUGGGGUUGAGCGCCUUGGUUCUGGAAUUAGAGAAGUUGGGUUUAAGUGCUACACCUUCCACUUAUUGACUGACAUUAGUUCCCUACAAAGAAUAGCCUGCUCCAGUGCUGGCCUGAGAUUUGGACCACAACAAAUGCUCAGCGUGGCAAGCUUCUAGAGUCAGCAAGAGAUCCUCAAAUUAAGAUGGAGUUCCAAGGCAAAGAUUAAAUGUGUAUCACCUGGUAACAUAGGCUAAACUGAGGAAGCCAAGUCAAACCUAUGUGAAGACCCUUCUAGAAAGCAUAAACUUGUAGUCUCAUGGAAGCCUGAUGGGCCCAAAGAAUCUGAUUACAUAAAGAGGCAGGUCUAAAAAGGCGUCAUGAGUGCGGCUUUGACCAGUGGAGUUGACUCGCUUCAAAUUUAUAGAUAAUCCAUAAAGUUCUGAAGAAAGAACCAGUCUGAACUAAAAGAAACAGAGGCUGUUGGGGAUUUGAAAAGGCCUUUAGGCCUUCAAAUUUGUAUAAUCAAGAAGCAGGCUGCGAAGACGGCCCAGCAAUCAAAAGAGAACAUAUUUUCCAAAGGCUUCAUCAGGAGUGGACAAUGAGGAUGAUGGAUAGUGGUGUAGCUCAUAGCAGAUGCAACCAAAGUCUGGGUAAUAACCAACUAGAGAUGCACUUCUGAAGCAUCGGGU
Molecule: long non-coding RNA, 911 nt
Organism: Neofelis nebulosa (Clouded leopard)
Lineage: Eukaryota; Metazoa; Chordata; Mammalia; Carnivora; Felidae
Exons: 4
Source: RefSeq, a predicted model, not a curated record